AUGAUUCUUCAACCUUUAGGCAAAGGCCAGAGGAUGCCAGCAGCAUCCCCAGGUUUCUUACUUGCAGGUAAAUGGAGACUUUUAAUUUCUAGCCUCAAUGCUUUCCUACCAUAUCAUGAACAAAAAUUCCACCUCACCAGCACCCUGAAUGGGAGAAAGCCUCUCAGCAGAGUUUCAGUAUAGUACAGAACUCCCUUUGUAGAAGAUUUUCUUCAUACUCUUACCCCAAAGAUGACUGACACAAGAAAGCUUCUACCCCCUGUCUCCAGGAGCUCGAUACUCACCCUGUUACACACCAGUAAGAGAAGGCUGCUGCAGCAAGAGACAAAUUGUGAUUUGCCUUAAAAGAGAUACUGUAAGGAUAGAGUGCAGUAAAACUUCAUCCUCUACAGGGCAAUAAACAAAAGCAAGACAAAUCAAACAAAAUACAACAAAGAAGUGCAGAUAUUAUCAAUUUAAUCCUUCAUUAUGCUGAAUCCUAUGAUUCUGGCUGAGGACACAUUGAAACAGUAGAAAAAUGAUGAUUAUGUUUUGAUUGAUAUUUAAGGACUCAAUAGAUAAUUAAUCCAAACUUUAUCAAGUAGUUUUCAACCAAACAACAUGAAGUACACUUCCCAGAGUUUCAUCAUAUAUACA
Molecule: long non-coding RNA, 636 nt
Organism: Neopsephotus bourkii (Bourke's parrot)
Lineage: Eukaryota; Metazoa; Chordata; Aves; Psittaciformes; Psittacidae
Exons: 4
Source: RefSeq, a predicted model, not a curated record